GACGAACGCUGGCGGCGUGCCUAACACAUGCAAGUCUGGGAGAAUUGGGUAGCAAUAUCCAUUGUAAACCGGCGCACGGGUGAGUAAUAUAUAGGUAAUAUGCCUUUUGGUUUGGAAUAACCCCGCGAAAGCGGGGCUAAUACUGAAUGAUGCAGCGUUUCCGCAUGGAGAUGUUGUUAAAGCUUCGGUGCCAAGAGAUUAACCUGUAUCCCAUUAGAUAGUUGGCGAGGAACGGCUCACCAAGUCUGCGAUGGGUAGCUGAUCUGAGAGGAUGAUCAGCCACACUGGAACUGAGACACGGUCCAG
Molecule: ribosomal RNA, 306 nt
Filed under: uncultured bacterium
Lineage: Bacteria
Description: bacterial SSU rRNA
Rfam family: Bacterial small subunit ribosomal RNA
Source: RNAcentral